AAUAGCACAUAAUAAGUAAUUCUUUGCCUUGAGGUCCUUCAACUUCAAUCUCUCAAUUUCUGCUUUCUGUAUAUCAGACACAACUGUUCCAAUUACUAGUUCUGGAACCCCUUCUGAAACGACUUCCUAGUACUCUUUAGAUAUGAGGAAAUUUUCUAUCAUCAUUGCUCCAAUAAUCAUAGUGACCAUCGAAGCGAGAAUUAUA
RNAcentral lists this long non-coding RNA (205 nucleotides) under Carica papaya (papaya). RNAcentral describes it as "long non-coding RNA (CPAP_LNC016415)". Lineage: Eukaryota; Viridiplantae; Streptophyta; Magnoliopsida; Brassicales; Caricaceae. The record is from RNAcentral.